CCGCCGGCGGAGUUUUUCCUGCUACAGUCCUCAAACUUUCCACCGGCUCCGAGGCUUCGCGGUUAACUCCUGUGGAAGCCGCCGACAGGCUGCCGGAGCGGGCCGAGGCGGUGAUCGGCGGCCCGGCGGACCUCUCCGCCCCCCGUGCCGGCUCCCCGUCCUCAGGAGCGCCGCCACUCGCCCUUGGCAACCACCUCCCGCCUCGGCCCCGCGGCCCGGUCGCGCCUGCUCCUUUAAAUAGCGGCCGCGGCCCCGCCGUGCGUCCCGCUGAGGCAGUUAGCGGGCGCCGCGUCGCCCUCGCCCCCCUCCAUGGAAGUUCAUGAAGUGGAUCAUGGUCUUAUUAGCCAGCUACUUGCUGAUUCAGAGGAGACUCUUAGUUCGUGCACAGAGAAAAUGCAGGGUCCUGCUCAAUAUAGCUGGAGUGCUGACUGGAGCUUUUGGCUCUCAAGUUCCACUUACAAAUAUAGGAGUGAGGAAUUCAAGAGACAGUUUUCUCAUCUGCCAGAUUCCGAGAGACUCAUAGUAGAUUAUGCCUGUGCACUCCAGAAGGAUAUCCUGCUGCAAGGACGUUUGUAUCUCUCUGAAAACUGGCUCUGUUUCCACAGCAACAUUUUCCGGUGGGAGACCACAAUUUCUAUUGCCUUGAAGGAUAUCACUUUCAUGACAAAGGAGAAGACUGCUCGGCUCAUUCCAAAUGCCAUACAAAUAGCAACAAAAGGAGAGAAGUUUUUCUUCACAUCAUUCAGUGCAAGAGACAGAAGCUACCUCAGUAUCUUCCGCUUAUGGCAGAAUGUGUUGCUAGAUAAGAGGCUGACCAAGCAGGAAUUCUGGCAGCUGGUGCACCAGAGCUAUGGCUCUGAGCUGGGCCUGAACAGCGAGGAGAUGGAGAGCUUCCACUCAUCGUCUGAGGACAACGGGCAGUCUCGAUCCAGCAUUUGUGAAGAUUCUGGAGAAAGGGAUGAAAAACUGCCUAAAAUGAUUGGUUUGGUUCGGGAACCCACACUUCAAACAGAAGGAGAGUCACUCAAUAGACACGCGUUGCCAGGAGUGGAGGAGUCCCCAGGUGAGAAGCAGGUAAAGAAGAGCCCUCUUCCAUCUUCAGAAAGAAAACCUGUUAAGCUGGUCAGGAGCAGGUCUUUAGAAAAGUCCUUGGACCUGAAUGAGAAUGAAGAUCUUCCAGAGAAAAGCAGUGCCUCAGAUAGCGAAGAAGCAGUGAAGGAGACUGUCUCUGAGAAUGAUCUCUAUGGGAGACUUUUUAUAAACAGAGUUUUCCAUAUCACUGCAGACAAGAUGUUUGAAAUACUUUUCACCAAUUCUCACUUCAUGCAGAGGUUUCUCAAUUCCAGGAGUAUAGUAGAUGCUGUAUCAACCCCUUGGAAUAGAGAUUCCAGUGGCAAUCAGUUGAGGACUUUGACAUACACUGUAACGAUUAACAAUCCACUUUGUGGGAAGUUCACAACUGCAACUGAAAAGCAGAUCCUGCAUAAGCAAAGCCAGAAAGGUCAAUCUUACCAGGUGGAUGCAGAGGUGCUGACCCAUGAUGUCCCCUACCAUGAUUAUUUCUACACUGUGAACAGAUACUGCAUCAGCCGCACAUCCAAUCACAAGUGUCGAUUACGGGUUUCUGCAGAAGUGAAGUACAAAAAACAGCCUUGGGGCCUUGUCAAGUCUGUAAUUGAGAAGAAUACCUGGGGAGGCAUACAGGAAAACUUCAAACAACUUGAAUCAGAUCUCCUAAUGGAGGAAUAUGCAAUUAAUCAGUCCAUAGAAGACACUGGAAAAUUAGUUGCCCUGAGACGAAGACGACGCACUUUACACCGGAGUCUGGCAGAAUCACUUCCCAAACGCUCUUCCCAGCACUCCUCUGGUGACAUGGGAGCGGAGUCCCAGGGCAGCAUGAUGGAAGCUGUUGAGCUAUUCUGUGUGAAAUGCUGGGCACUGACAUGUAUCUGCAGGCAUCCUUUAGGAAUGUUCUUCGCUACUUUUUAACCUCCUUCUCUUCCAUGCCUUGUAGGAAGGAAAAGAGAUGCUGUAAGUAGGACCACCACCAUCAUUGUAGUAAUGAGUGUCUUGUAAGUACUCAUUUGCAUUAAAAUGUGGCUUGACUCAAGUUCAUCUUGGUCUUUAUCUAUAUUUGUCUGUACCUCACUUGUAUGUUAAAAUUGCAUGUAGCAUAAUAAUUUGAAUGGAGCACUCAGGUAUAGGAGGGAAAUGGAUUGCCUUAAGUGACACAUGGAAUGAAAAUGCUGACUUGCCAAAGUAAUCUACCUUGCAAGUUUACUUAGGUCUGAUCCUAAAAAAACCCAAGCAGUCUAGGAUUUACUCAUUCCUAGUCUUAAAAGAUCCAGGAGAAGACACUGUUGUCAUUCCUAUUGGUUGCCAUUACACAGCUUAACGCUAACUGCUAAGAAUUCUUUGGACAGAUCUUUGUUUUCAGUAUAGUGCUGUCCUGCCACGCACGUUUUUUGGCUCUUGGAAGGAUUCUCUUUUCUUACAUGUUUUUAGCCAAGAUCUUGUUUCUGUAGCAUUGCAAGUGAAAUUGUUACAGGACUUGAUUUUUGUUCUUUUCUCUCUACAGCUUGCUGCUCUUGGUCUUGCUGAAUAUAACACUGUUCCUCAAACUGUCAAAGAUAGAGCAUGCAGCUCAGUCCCUCUAUCAUGUCCAACUUCAGGAAGAAAGCUCUUUGAACAUAUCCCCAGAAAUGGUAUCAAAAGAGGACAUCCCUCAAUAUGAUAAGGAACAGGUUAAACACAUGAAGGGAGUUUUAAGAGACUCAAUUGAAAUGCUUGAGCAGUUAAAGAGCUCCCUUUCCAUGCUCCAAAGAAGCUUUGACCACUUGAACAGGACACAGAGUGGCAAGACUGAGAGUUAAUACCCACAUGAGCUUGACGUUGGAAGAACAGAUGUGUGUGUGUGAGGACUUACGGGGUAGGGAUUGCAUAUGUCACCUUCGGACUCUUUACUAUUUGGCUGAAAAGCUGCACAGAAUAAAGGUUUCUGGAAGAAGCUCUGCAUUCC
Strigops habroptila (Kakapo) is the source of this 3019-nucleotide RNA transcript. It is a transcript of the gene named GRAM domain containing 1C, with no coding region annotated. The record is from RefSeq and is a predicted model, not a curated record. NCBI's taxonomy places the organism in Eukaryota, Metazoa, Chordata, Aves, Psittaciformes, Psittacidae. The transcript has 17 exons.